Molecule: long non-coding RNA, 209 nt
Organism: Cataglyphis hispanica
Lineage: Eukaryota; Metazoa; Arthropoda; Insecta; Hymenoptera; Formicidae
Exons: 3
Source: RefSeq, a predicted model, not a curated record
GAAUAUUCUUCAAAAUAUCUAGAAGAACUAUGACGAGUUUAUUUGAUGUCACGCGAAAUUUGCAACGAUCGACACUCGAAAAUUGCAAUACACGUAAAUGAGAUGUUGAAGACAACGUUUUGGUUUCAAACGGAUAUGCCCCUUUAACAAAGAUCACGUUCAACAUAUUAUGCAAAAGAGUUGAGAAUGAGAAAUAGCGUCAAACAAAG